Molecule: non-coding RNA, 153 nt
Filed under: Gossypium hirsutum (cotton)
Lineage: Eukaryota; Viridiplantae; Streptophyta; Magnoliopsida; Malvales; Malvaceae
Description: Bacterial large subunit ribosomal RNA
Rfam family: Bacterial large subunit ribosomal RNA
Source: Rfam by way of RNAcentral
GCAUAAUCUUCUCCAAGAGCUCACAUCGACGAGAAGGUUUGUCGCCUUGAUGUUGGCUCUUUGCCACCUGGGGCUAUAGUAUGUCCCAAGGGUUGGAUUGUUCACCCAUUAAAGCAGCAUGUGAGCUAGGUUUAAAAUGUUAUGAGACAAUUC